Long non-coding RNA from Ornithorhynchus anatinus (platypus), 605 nucleotides. RefSeq lists it as uncharacterized. NCBI's taxonomy places the organism in Eukaryota, Metazoa, Chordata, Mammalia, Monotremata, Ornithorhynchidae. The transcript has 3 exons. The record is from RefSeq and is a predicted model, not a curated record.
UGCCCACUAAGAAGCCUGGAAGCGAUUCCUUUGCCUACCGUAGUCUUGAGCUCCUCCGUGUUCCUCGAUGGCAUCUUGUCCUCGUGUUGUUUUAUCAUUAUGUGACCGGUCCUGCCUCGUGUGGCAUAGCCACCCUUCUAUCCCCCAGCCCCCACCCUUCGUUUAGACUGUGAGCCCCCUGAGAGCCAGGGAUUAUCCUCUAUUGUAUUUUUCUUCAGUUCUAAGGAUAGUGCUCUGCCAGUGUGCCUUGUCACCAGCUUGACCUGAACCCCCGGGUCCGCCUGGGAUGGGGGAGUGGAGCGAGCGAUGGGAUCUGGGGGACCGGACCCUGUCGCUGGGGCCCUGAGAAGUCAAAUGGCUGAAUUUGGAACCCUCCUCCCCACUUGCUGGCAGGAAGGGCGUUGAAGACGACCCAGAAAGACAAUGAAGUGGCGGGGACUGUGACGAGUGGCCGAGUUUGUGGAGAGUGCACCUGUGCCCUGGGUGUGCGUGUGUGUUUGUGUGCGCUUGUGUGUACGCGUGCCCCAUCCAGCUUCAUUCCUUCGCUUCCUCCCUCCUGCUCCGUUGCUUCCCGGUGACGCCACCCCGAGCCCACCCCCAGCCCG